Homo sapiens (human) is the source of this 1131-nucleotide long non-coding RNA. Ensembl annotates it as long intergenic non-protein coding RNA 1704. The record is from Ensembl. NCBI's taxonomy places the organism in Eukaryota, Metazoa, Chordata, Mammalia, Primates, Hominidae.
UCCUUGUCCUGGGCUGGCCUCCAACUUGGAACGCCGGCGAACCGCCUGACCUCUUCCGGCGGCCUCAGCCUGGGACGCAUGCGCACAUCGAGGCUCCCCGACAUCAGGCGCGGGUCUUUAAUUACAUAUUUUGCUAUGCUCCAGGCUAUGCAUUUGGAACAGUGCUUUCCUUUUUAUCUUUAUUUUGUUUCUUUUGCUUAACUUCGGGAUGCAGCAAUGAAGUGUUAUUAAAAGAGCCCUAAAGCUGAGAGUGAAAUUUGGACUCUGUAACAAACCAGCUGUGGGGUCUUAAGCAAGUCACUUAAACGUGGGGACCUCGGCCUCCAAACCAGAUGACACUCGAGGCACAGCCUGCCUCCUAUCGCUGCUGGAAAGACUGUGGAAAUGGUACUGUUGGUGCCCAUAGACCUCCAGACCCCCAUGGGACAGCAGCUGGGCAUUCCUCCACCAUUGAAUGAAGUGUGAGCAGGGACUGGAAACCGGACAGCAAUUCUAGGGCCAGUUGGAAGGAGAGGCUUCCAGAUACAGCCCUCUAGGUCAUCCAGAGGUGCCAGCCAGCCCUCACCAGUGGUCAGCUUUUCCUCAGUGGAGUGGUAGGUGAGCCAGUGGAGCUUGCUCUGAAGAUACUAGAGGGAGCCAAAGCUGUCUGGCCCUUCAGUGUGACUCAGUUUCCAGACUCUUUCUCUUUAGACAUAAAUGAAGAACAAGUCAACCUUGAUGCCUUUGAGGGUUGGUUCAGCGGAUGAUGUGUUGUGGGGUUUUCCCACAGGUCAGCAGUCCAACUACCAGGGCCAGAGCCCCAUCAAAGAAUCUUCAGUGCCAGCCAGAAAGAAUGAUGAACUCCUCGUGUAAAGGGAGUUUGGGGCAACCAGUCAAACCAUGGCCUCAUGGGAAGCAGCUGACUAGGCAAUGAGAGAGGAAUACAAAAGACAAGGCACUGCGAAGCCAAGUCUGGUUGGGGAGAAGAAACCAAUAUGCCUGAAACAGGGAACCAGAAAGGACUCAGACAAAACUGCUGACAAGUAUGGGGUUUCUUGGGGUAGGUGGUGAAAAUAUUCCAAAAUAAGAUUAUAGCGAUGUUUUAAUAAUCCCCUGGAUAUAAUAAAAAAACAUCGAAUUGUACACUUCAAA